RNAcentral lists this ribosomal RNA (499 nucleotides) under fungal sp. BJJKDF19. RNAcentral describes it as "eukaryotic LSU rRNA". The stretch from base 126 to 279 matches the Rfam family "5.8S ribosomal RNA". The record is from RNAcentral. Lineage: Eukaryota; Fungi.
AGGCUUGCCUCUUCUCUUCCCAUGUCUUUUGAGUACCUUCGUUUCCUCGGCGGGUCCGCCCGCCGAUUGGACAAAUUUAAACCCUUUGCAGUUGCAAUCAGCGUCUGAAAAAACAUAAUAGUUACAACUUUCAACAACGGAUCUCUUGGUUCUGGCAUCGAUGAAGAACGCAGCGAAAUGCGAUAAGUAGUGUGAAUUGCAGAAUUCAGUGAAUCAUCGAAUCUUUGAACGCACAUUGCGCCCCUUGGUAUUCCAUGGGGCAUGCCUGUUCGAGCGUCAUUUGUACCUUCAAGCUCUGCUUGGUGUUGGGUGUUUGUCUCGCCUUUGCGUGUAGACUCGCCUCAAAACAAUUGGCAGCCGGCGUAUUGAUUUCGGAGCGCAGUACAUCUCGCGCUUUGCACUCAUAACGACGACGUCCAAAAAGUACAUUUUUACACUCUUGACCUCGGAUCAGGUAGGGAUACCCGCUGAACUUAAGCAUAUCAAAAGCCGGAGGAAA